This 364-nucleotide ribosomal RNA is filed under the name Vibrio cholerae. Its description in RNAcentral is "bacterial SSU rRNA". It matches the Rfam family "Bacterial small subunit ribosomal RNA", at positions 1181 to 1533 of the family's 1533-position model. The record is from RNAcentral. Lineage: Bacteria; Pseudomonadati; Pseudomonadota; Gammaproteobacteria; Vibrionales; Vibrionaceae.
GACGUCAAAUCAUCAUGCCCCUUAUGUCUUGGGCUUCACGCAUGCUACAAUGGUUGGUACAGAGGGUUGCGAUACUGUGAGGUGGAGCGAAUCCCUUAAAGCCAGUCUCAGUUCGGAUUGGGGUCUGCAACUCGACCCCAUGAAGGUGGAGUCGCUAGUAAUCGCAGAUCAGCAACGCUGCGGUGAAUACGUUCUCGGGCCUUGUACACACCGCCCGUCACGUCACGAAAGUUGGUAACACCCGAAGCCCAUGGCCUAACCGCGUUUGUGGGGGGAGUGGUCGAAGGUGGGAUUGGCGAUUGGGACGAAGUCGUAACAAGGUAGCCGUACCGGAAGGUGCGGCUGGAUCACCUCCUUUCUAGGG